Long non-coding RNA from Ipomoea nil (Japanese morning glory), 1089 nucleotides. RefSeq lists it as uncharacterized. The transcript is spliced from 2 exons. Lineage: Eukaryota; Viridiplantae; Streptophyta; Magnoliopsida; Solanales; Convolvulaceae. The record is from RefSeq and is a predicted model, not a curated record.
CUUCUCUCUUCCGUUGUCACUAUCUCUCAAGAACUGUCGGAAUCUUAGUGUUCUACCCUUAUGUCAAAGUGUCUAAUUUCCGUUUUGAUGAACUGCUACCUGAAAUCUAGGUUUUUUACACAGAUUUCUCACUUUCUCUGCAGCUAAACGCCCGUUCUUAAGGUCUCUAGAGUUCUCACUUUUUCUCUAGCCUGAGCGAAUCGCAGUGUGAUAGUCUAAUCUCCGUUUUCUAGAGCGAAUCGCUGUGCUCUACACCGGUACAUGAAAUCCGGGGUUUUGUACACCAGAUUGCCGUUCUAAACACGAGCUGUUGUCUACAAUCCUCGGUGGCAAGUAUCAAUUGACGUCAACUGUUCUUUUCGUGUGCUUUAAAACAACAGAUUUGAAAGUCCAAGUCAGUUUACCUCGUUUAAAGCUUUGACGAUGAUGUUAAUGUUGACAUUUGGCUCUUCCGACGCUCAAGCUAAGUAACCUAUUACUUAUCUAAUUUCCUACCUUUUUAUCCUAAAUUUAAUAUGUAUUUGUACACCUAUUUACGAUUUAGUGUAGGAUUGCAGAUUAUUUCAUGGAAUGAUGCCUCCUUUUGAUUAAGGUUUUCACAUAACGAUGCAAAUUAGGUUUUUGUAGUCAAUAGUUAACAUGCAACAUAGAAAAUUAAAGAAUAACUAAUUAUUUGUAAUUCUAAAAAAAAAACUAAUUAUUUGUAAAUAUAAUGUGAUCAGAGCUAAUCUAUUAUUUCAAUUUCGCAGGACAGAGGCGAAGUUGUGCGAUGUAUAUCCGCACUGGAAUUCUAAGAUCAUCAAUACAUGGAAAAAUGCAAAUAUUGAUUAAAUAGAAGAUGAUCUUGCUGAGUAUUAUGUUUUCUCAAGAAUCUCAGGGUGUACUUCCGUAUCUCAUUCGACCUCUUUAUAUAGAGGUAGAGGUAGAAUUGAAUUUGGACUCUUAGAGAAAAACGAAGAGUCCUGCCUUGGAAGUUGGAACAAUGAGAAAUAAUAAUUAAGUUUGUUGCAUGUGUUCAAUUAGAUGGUAUCAGUUCAAAUUUGUAAUUUAAACAUGCAGCCAAUUCGCUUUCCAAGGCAAUUCGAAUAA